GGAAAACUAAGGCACAGUGAAUUGUAGCUCCUAACUACAGGGCAAACCAUCUUCCUUAAGUAGGAGUGAAAAAUACAAACAUCAAAAUGGUCCUCAUCCACCCUUUUAUAAACCAGUGACCCAGAUGGCUCUCCCUAGUUGUCAACUACACCUCAGGGGACAACGGUGGAAUAUCGUCAGUCUCUGACAGUUCGAGCUGUCACUCCUGGGUCUUCUCUUCUCCGGGCUGGACUCGGCAGGGCGUCCCAUCCUUCCUGGUUGAAGCCACUCGCUGCGGAGUCUCUGGCAAUUCUUCACUGUAAGAGGCUGACUGUAUGCGUUACGGGUGCCGAGUUAAGCCUGACAAUAUGGACCAAAGCAGGACUAAAGUCAGGAAAAUAGAAAAUAUGAGAAGUUUAAACCAUUUACCAAUAAUUUAUGGCCUUUAUUUAUGGGGAACUUAGAAGAAUAAUCUUCUAGAUCUAAAACUCCCUUUUUCCAGCUGAAAAAAGAAACCACUGUCAAGCAGGCUGAGUAACAUGCCCAGGGAACACGACCGUAAGCUCUAGAGCUCCGCGUGGCUCCGCGUGGCUCCACGCCCUGGCAAUGAUGAUUCUGCACAGCCUUAGAGGGGCUGAACACUGGAAGCCGUCACGUGAAAUGAGAUCACCUCAGUCGUCCUGCUGACGAUGAGCAUUCACACAAAAACCUUUCCAGGUGGAGGCAGGUGGCCGUAACUCAGGACACCUUCAGGAGCUUCCGUGAUUCAGAGCGUCUGUUCUGUGUCUCAAAGCCAACGCUUAAUGGGAUCAUCUCCUCUUUGAUCUACGGGAGUGAACGUUUUAAGCACGUCUCAGUGCAUGUGCAAGCACUCACUAGACAGGGAAGGGGG
Molecule: long non-coding RNA, 871 nt
Organism: Zalophus californianus (California sea lion)
Lineage: Eukaryota; Metazoa; Chordata; Mammalia; Carnivora; Otariidae
Exons: 3
Source: RefSeq, a predicted model, not a curated record